UAAAUCCCCUCCAGGACUGUGCGAGCUCACAUCUCUCUCACACGAGGCUGACCUCUGAGAAAAGCCUAGAAGAUGAGACUCCUGGGUCUCCUGUAUCUGGUGAUAGCCCUUCCUGGCGUCCUGUCCCAGAUCCAGCUUGAGGAGUCAGGACCUGGCCUUUUGAAGCCUUCACAAUCUCUGUCCCUCACCUGCUCUGUCUCUGGUUACUCCAUCACCAGUGGUUAUGUCUGGAGCUGGAUCAGGCAGUCCCCAGGAAAGAAGCUGGAGUGGAUGGGAUACAUAAGUAGUGGUGGUAGCACCAACUACAACCCAACUCUCAAGAGCCGCAUCUCCAUCACCAGAGAAACAUCCAAGAACCAGUUCUCCCUACAGCUAAACUCUGUGACCACUGAGGACACAGCCACAUAUUACUGUGCAAGAGACACAGUGAGGGGACUUCAGUUGUCCCUUGACUGUGUCAUAUUCUAUGACAAUCAGCACCAGUUUCCAUUCUAUAAGCGCCUGUUAUUUCCCUAUGGAGCAUCUAAGGGUUUCGGGAAUGGCUACUUUCUCAGACGGAAUGACGACUUGGACCUCAACAUCCAGCCUGACCCAGGUUUCCUCAAUCUCCUUCUGCUCCAGCUGGACUAG
Mesocricetus auratus (golden hamster) is the source of this 630-nucleotide non-coding RNA. The record is from the annotation of a RefSeq genome assembly. NCBI's taxonomy places the organism in Eukaryota, Metazoa, Chordata, Mammalia, Rodentia, Cricetidae.